GACCGCUCUGGCCCAUUUUAAGCUUUGGACUGGGCCGCAUUAGGUGUUGGAAUGGGAGAGGACGGGGCCUUUCUUUUCGAGAGAGGGGAGGGUUUUGGGGCAGGUGUAGAGGCCGCCUGUGGUAGGCGUAGGUUACCUCAGGAGGGAGGAGGAGAGGAGGCGGGCGGGGGAGUUCGGGAGGGAGCAGCGCGGGAGGAGGAGGAGGAAGCGGGCAGCUGCGACGCGGAGGAAGCCGGGCUUCGAAGACAAAGCUGCGGAGGGGAGGGACGGCGGCGCGCGGGCGGCCACCUCGCACCGCGGCGCGCGACGCAGGCUCCGCAAGCUGCCUUAAGUCUCGGUCCUGUUCGGAGGGCCCCAGCCUCCGCCCCCGCGCGCGGCCUCUCGGAUGGCGCUCCUCGUUCCCCUCGGGCAGCGGGCGGGGAACCCACGACCUCGCCCCCCGUAGUGAGCGAUGUAGCAGGGCCGUCCCCGCAACGAGCGCGACUCGAAACAGUAAACCUUCCACCAACUCUUAAAGGAGGGGGAUUUCUCUUUCCUAGUCUUAAGACCUCUUGGAUACAGAAGACCCCAGUGCACCAGGAAACGACGGCCGAGGUUAAACAGUUGUAGAUGUUCGUAAUUUCGGGUUUUCCUCAGCUUCUUUUUAGAUUUGUUCAAAAUAUUCCUUGAAGCCUGUGACUUUUGGCAAUUGUACCGUCCGGCAGUUAAGCCCCUACUCCCUGAUAAGAAGGAUCGUCUUUCGAAUCGGAUAUUGUUCUCACGACUUCUCCACCUGAAAAGCCCAUUACGCUAUUGUCGACGCCCUUAUCUUCGAAAGCUACCGUAAGAGGUCUAUUUGUGUCGAAACUUCUGAGAGUUAAAUAGACCUUUAUAGUAACCUCUACUUCCUCGGUUCACAGAAAGUCUAUAUAACUAACUUUUGCAUCCAUAAGUCUUCGAGAAGGACUUGUCAUGUUUAUAGCCUCUACUCCCCCGUUUUCGUUAAAGUCUAGACGACUUUUUCUUGUUUUGUUAUGCAUAACAUGUCGAAUCGUUGUUAUGUUAUCUUAUGUCACCAAAACGUUCAUAACGUCUACGUGAAGAACUCUUAUUAUGCGAUGCCUCAAACAUAGAGUUACCGUUGAUACCACCAGGAGAGCCACGUAGGUCGGAUCGUUUUCCUCAACAUCCCUUGUUUAGAGAGUCCCUUGAAGUAAAUGUACCAUUGCCUAAACCCUUGCUCCCUAAUGCCCACAACUACAGACGUAAUAGACGAGUGUCUCCCUUCUAUUGUCAGAACCUAUAACCAUUGUUGUUGUAAUGUAGUCUUCCAAGAGAGAUACAUCGACUCAAGUAGUUUCACUGUUUCAGAGAUGCCACCGAGUCGGACAUGUACCUACUACAACCACUGCUCCCUCGACUUUUCCACCGUCUACGAGACUUUGUCUUGUUUUGUUAAAGAUGUUACCUGAAACCACCAUUAUUGUAAGUGAGAGCUCCCCAUUGACGUUAUCGACUUUGAAACUUCCUCUUACUUCACGAUUGUUGUGACCUCAACUCAAUAUUGGGUUAACCUGGUCUCCCCCAUUUCCGAAACACGCUACAAGAGUUCAAGUUGCCGUUUGAGGUUUGGGAAUUCGAACCAACCACGGUCUAUCCACACAGUCCACGUCUCAAGUAACGACUAACAAACUUCAUAUUGUGUUGUAACAGCUGUAACCUAAACGCCCGUUUACCUGAACCUCUACUACCACGAUAGACGAACCGCGCUUCAAACUUCUAUUAGUUACUUAGGAACUUUAGUGAACUGGAACCUAAAUUACUCUAAUCUCUACUACCUCGUAAACGUAACCGUGUUCGUGAGUUCCGGUUACUCCUAGAACGUCAGUGUAGUAAUUACGAGCGAUUGUUGAAGAAACCCUUUAAACCUGUCCAACGAGACUGGCUCCGUGCCCUAGUACAUAUGCUCUACUCACCUUUCCUUUAUCUGUAAAUAAUAAUCAUGUUAACCAAAGAGUAACGUGACAUCGAUGAUAGGCUACCAAGUCGAACAGCCACCUACCGGACGAAAGACGUAUCAACUGACAUUAACUCCGAAAACCCGUAAUGAGUUCAUCUAGUUUCCUUUACCCCCUUCUCGUACCGAAUACGAAACGAUACGUUUAAAACCAUUUGAUGAACUGACAUCAAAUUAGUAAGUCGACAUAUAUACGUUUAAAAGUCUCCGUGAACGGUAAGAAUAACCAACAUUACCUGGUAUAGGAAGUAAAGUCCAUACCUAAACCGAUUAAUCACUACUGAAAACGGUCGAAAAAAAGAAAUCAGACCAACAGUAAACAGUAUGUAUAUAUUGAAUAAAUAAAAACUUAGUAUGCUAGUGAAUGUAUGAUUCAUCUCAGUAGCAGUUCGGACUACUAAAACAGUACCCCAGUAGACCCUUUUUGCAAAGACGAGCACAUUCACAUAUGUGGGUAAGAGAUCUGGUAAGACACAACGUAAAUGUAAGUUGGGGUGUUAAAGGUGGCGUACUGGUACGUUUCAAAGUACACCAUGUAAAGCUAAAAUGUAAUAGUAGG
This 2555-nucleotide ribosomal RNA is filed under the name Triticum aestivum (bread wheat). RNAcentral describes it as "partial small subunit ribosomal RNA". The record is from RNAcentral. Lineage: Eukaryota; Viridiplantae; Streptophyta; Magnoliopsida; Poales; Poaceae.